This 2006-nucleotide long non-coding RNA is filed under the name Equus asinus (donkey). RNAcentral describes it as "lncRNA (ENSEASG00005031552.1)". The record is from RNAcentral. Lineage: Eukaryota; Metazoa; Chordata; Mammalia; Perissodactyla; Equidae.
CUCAGAAGGUACUCUGGGCCUGACUGGCAAAUCUCUAAGGGACAGGUCUAGGCAUGACGCCCUUGUGUAUAUGGAACCCAGGGACAAUCAUCAGAGGGACUAACCUGUGCAAGUAUCAGGAAAGCCUUAAGGAAAACACUUGGAGCUGAAAGUAGCCACAAGGGCGCCAAGAUGCAAAACCUGAGGAGUGAGGAACUGAGGAAGAGACUGGAGGAAGGUACUCUCAAGGAAUCAUAUUUUACAAAACCGAUGUGGUACAUGAAGAAUUCUAGUCACUAUGGUGAAAGGAAAAAGAGGACAAAUAGAAGAAACAGGAGGGGAAAAAAGUCAGAAACAUCUGUGUGAAGGUCGUCCAAGAAGGGCGGAAGCUGUUUUCAUCCACACUUUGAAAGUCACACUCUGUGUCAAGUUGAGUGAAAGCCUGAGCAAUGUGCUUCUCCACCUUCCCGGAAGAAAGAAACACAAAGAAAAUGUGGCAAAUAUUUAAUCCAAGCCUCGUUUCCUGAAAGACUGCAAGAUGCCCACAAACUUUCUUUCCCAGAGUUCAAAAUAGCAAGCUGAGUGGGUGUAAGCACUUCAAGCGCAAAAAAUAUAAAAAUAAAAAAAAUAAUAAUAAGGUAACUAAGGAAAGGAAAUCAUCCUUUUUUGCUCCUCAGUUUGAGACUUUUAAAAGAAGCCAUUUCAAGGGAUUUUAAUGAUUUGGAUCUAGUGGUUGUCUUGAAUCAUUAUACGAAUACAGUCCUGAUGACUUAAACAGGGCCUCUGGCCACUUUUAAACUUUUUCUUACCUUUUCUAUGUUAAGACUAAAUUUACAACCUCAUUGUCACAGUAAGAGCAGGCAACUUCAUUCUGCUACAACCAGACUCUUAAAUCACUCCCACACCACACUGGCGUAAAGGGAGAGUUGCAGGUUCACCGGGUCCUUCCAGGGAGAGGGAGCUUCCUCAACACGGCUAUGAAAACUUUAACAACGUGUGUGAGUCACCAGAGGAGCUGGUUAAAAUGUAGAUUACGAUUCUGCAGGUCUGGGUGGGGGCCAACUUGUUCAAGUUCCCCAGUGAUGCUGAUGCACGGGUCUGAGGCCCACACUUUGAGAAGCAAGGCGGUAACAAUGAUUUACUCAUAGCUAGACAACAGAAGUAACAAUCAACCAAUUAAGAACAUUGGCAAGGUACCUAACACAGUGCUAAUUGUUACAGGAGACAGUAAAGUAUAUAAUAACAUAAGCUCUGAACCAACACAUAAAAAAUUAUUCUUAAAAAAUUAAGUGCUAAUUGCUAAAAUGCGUGGUGACGACUCUAAUAAUGGAGUCCAAUAAUGGAUCUAAUAAUGAAGAGGAAGAGUUCAGCAACAGCUAGAAUAAUGGCACAUGGUUUCAUAGAAGAGGUCGGACCUGAUAAGGCCCCAGGUUGGGAGGAUGUGGACAGAGAAGGAGCAGGAACCAGAAAAGGAAGUGUCUGGAGUUUCAACAUGGGAAAACUACAGUGCACCUCCUUGUGGCUGUAGAUAUUACCAUUUGAAGCUUUUUUUCUCCCAAGGUCCCAGCACAUAGUUGUAUAUCCUAGUUGUUAGUCCUUCUAGUUCUUCCUCGUGGGAGGCCACCACAGCAUGGCUUGUUGAGCUGAGCAGUGUGUAGGUCCAAGCCUGGGAUCAGAACCUGUGAACCCCAGGCCACUGAAGCAGAAUGCACGAACUUAACCAUUAUAUGACCGGGCUGGCUCCUCAUUCAAAACUUUUCACCAGAAUUCACUUUUAGCCAGAUGAAGGGAGCUUCUGACCUUGUUUAAUAUUUGUAGGCAGUUUUGUCCUAGUCUUAUGCAGAUUUUCUCCAUUGGCAACAGCAACAGUGUUAGUGACAUUUUAGGUUUCAGCCUGGUAGCACAAAAUUACCAUUUUUGUAUAUAUAUUUAUGCAUCCCUUUGAUUAACAUAUGUCUCUAAUGAUUAACAAUUUUAACAGCAUUAGAAUAUAACUUUUCACUACAAUAGAAUUAAUAAUCUUCUGU